GGAUUGCUGCCAAACCUAACAGU
Molecule: non-coding RNA, 23 nt
Filed under: Arabidopsis thaliana (thale cress)
Lineage: Eukaryota; Viridiplantae; Streptophyta; Magnoliopsida; Brassicales; Brassicaceae
Source: RNAcentral